This 516-nucleotide ribosomal RNA is filed under the name uncultured bacterium. RNAcentral's name for it is "bacterial SSU rRNA". It matches the Rfam family "Bacterial small subunit ribosomal RNA", at positions 992 to 1509 of the family's 1533-position model. The record is from RNAcentral.
AGAACUUUCCAGAGAUGGAUUGGUGCCUUCGGGAACUCUGAGACAGGUGCUGCAUGGCUGUCGUCAGCUCGUGUUGUGAAAUGUUGGGUUAAGUCCCGCAACGAGCGCAACCCUUAUCCUUUGUUGCCAGCGGUUAGCCGGGAACUCAAAGGAGACUGCCAGUGAUAAACUGGAGGAAGGUGGGGAUGACGUCAAGUCAUCAUGGCCCUUACGAGUAGGGCUACACACGUGCUACAAUGGCGCAUACAAAGAGAAGCGACCUCGCGAGAGCAAGCGGACCUCAUAAAGUGCGUCGUAGUCCGGAUUGGAGUCUGCAACUCGACUCCAUGAAGUCGGAAUCGCUAGUAAUCGUGGAUCAGAAUGCCACGGUGAAUACGUUCCCGGGCCUUGUACACACCGCCCGUCACACCAUGGGAGUGGGUUGCAAAAGAAGUAGGUAGCUUAACCUUCGGGAGGGCGCUUACCACUUUGUGAUUCAUGACUGGGGUGAAGUCGUAACAAGGUAGGCGUAGUGCU